AUGGCGCCCGAGGAGAAUGCGGGGACCGAACUCUUGCUGCAGAGUUUCGAGCGCCGCUUCCUGGCGGCGCGCACGCUGCGCUCCUUCCCCUGGCAGGGGGGCGGCGGGCGAGCGGAGAGGCCCGCGGGGCUCGCGGGAGUCCAGGGGCAGACGGGAUGGGUCUCCGUGCUGAAACCCCCGGCGCUCCUGCCACAGCUUAGAAGCAAAGUUAAGAGACUCAUCAGAUUCUGAGCUGCUGCGGGAUAUUUUGCAGAAGACUGUGAAGCAUCCUGUGUGUGUGUGAAGCACCCGCCGUCAGUCAAGAAAGCCCGGUGCUUUCUCUCAGAACUCAUCAAAAAGCCCUCGGGAGGCUCAGUCACACUCUCCGAGAGCACAGCCAUCAUCUCCCAUGGUACCACAGGCCUGGUCACAUGGGAUGCCACCCUCUACCUUGCAGAAUGGGCCAUCGAGAACCCAGCAGCCUUCACUAACAGACGUGCUGUAUUGCCCAGAAGCCAUCGUGUCGCUGGUCGGGAUCCUGCGGAGGCUGGCUGCCUGCUGGGAGCACCAGCAGUCUCCUGAGGUCUACGUGGCCUUUACCGUCCACAACCCAGAGACGUGCCAGCUGUUCACCACCGAGCUAGGCCGGGCUGGGAUCAUAUGGGAAGCGGAAGCUCAUCAUGACCAGAAACUGUUUCCCUAUGGAGAGCACUUGGAGAUGGCAAUGCUGAACCUCACACUGUAGGACUCACACACGACUCCAACGGGAUUGUGAGAAUCAAGUCAAUCUCAUGGGAAGAAUUUUUAUAUGGGAAAGCGGAUAAAACUUUCAUUGUACUGGAAUGUUUGGAGAAUGUUAAAUUCCAAAUCAGAAACCACAAACUGCCCUCUAAUAAGACAUCGGCUAUCUAAGCGUGUGGGUGCCCCCUUUCUGCCAGCAGUUCUGGUUCUUACGAAAAUCACCAUAUAUCAGACAUGAAAAUUCUGGCUUUGUGCAGAUAAAAAAGUGUGUAUCAAGUA
Long non-coding RNA from Homo sapiens (human), 999 nucleotides. Ensembl annotates it as family with sequence similarity 86 member D, pseudogene. Its record names the gene FAM86DP. Lineage: Eukaryota; Metazoa; Chordata; Mammalia; Primates; Hominidae. The record is from Ensembl.